Musa acuminata subsp. malaccensis (wild Malaysian banana) is the source of this 2337-nucleotide non-coding RNA. The record is from RefSeq and is a predicted model, not a curated record. NCBI's taxonomy places the organism in Eukaryota, Viridiplantae, Streptophyta, Magnoliopsida, Zingiberales, Musaceae.
CUCAUUCAUAUGAUUCUAACGUAGAAUCAUAGAACCGCUAGGCGAGCAGUGAGCUCCACCCAUGUAUUCUGCUAAGAUCAGGGAUGGUGCCAGGAUAUCCAAACAGGGGGCAUUGUAAUUCAUAUUUGGUUUUGUUUAUGUGUGUGUGUGUAACUAUAAAUUCCAACUUUCCUGUAAUUUUUAUCUUAAUAAACUGAUAAUUAGAACAUGUAAAUCAUAUGAGGUAAUUAAUAGAACUAAGAGUCAAAUAUGAGACAACAAGGGAUCAAUAAAGAAGUGUCAUAUUUAAUGCUUGUCUUAUGCUUCACAACUUUCCAUGAACUAAUUUCCAAUAAUUAGUGGCAAUCUCAAGGCAUCAAGAACCAGCAACGGUGGACAUCUAAUGAGUCCAGGACCAAUAUAUUCCAUCACCAAUGGAUCCAUCAGUCAUCAGUACAGACUCCAUGUUUCACUGGUUCUUGGUUUAGCAUUGAAAUGCCUGCUAUUUGGAUUUUCUAAUGUUUUGAUACAAAUUUGAUCAGUUCCUACUUAUCUGCUGUAUUCAUGCUAGUUAGUGGCAGAUUCUUAAUCGCUCUGGUUGGCCCAGCUGGUCUGCUUGGUUCCACCCAGUCAUAGCAGGUUUUUCAUUGAGUCCCAGCCAAUUGAAUGAUGCAACAAAUCUCUGUGCUGAACCCAAUCAUGUCCUGUGUACCUAUGUCACUAGGCCAUCUGUUAGGAUCUAUAAAUAUCUUGACCGUUAAGGCAAUUUUUACAAGUAUAUGAUUUCAAGAAUUGGAAAGUGUUUCUGUUUGGUGAUAUAAAUGGGUUAUAUAAAUGUCUAAAUGGUUACUGUGGAUUUUCCUGCCACUAUUAUAACAUUAGUAGUCUGGAAAUUGAUGCUUGCAAAGGACUCUGCACUACUAAUAACAAGAAUUCUUUGCUUAUGAUAUCUGAAUGUCUUCAUAACAUGGUUACAAAUGAUAUGGUAUAUCAAUCAUACCAACCACACCAAACUUAUCCAAUUUUAUACUGUCUACUAGUGUACUGAUUUAUACAUAUUCAGUAGUUUUAUGGUAUAUAAUUGGUGCAUGUGGACUAUAUGGUUGGUGCAUAAUGGUCCAAGAAGUUUCUUUUACUGGUAUUUAAAACUUUCCAUCAUAGUACCUUGAACAUUGAUUCUGUCUUGUGUGAUAAAUUAUGUUCCAGGAUUAGUCAGCACAUAAAGUUACAAGUUAAGGUGUUAAUAGGUGGUAGGAGGUUAGAAAAACGAUGAAAAAUAAGAUGCGAAAGAGGGUAAUAACUAGCCAACCAGCCUAAAGAAAUCGAGAUGGUUCUAACUAGAAUAAAUAACAUUAUUUCCUCCACUAGCAUUUGAGAUUCCUAAAACAUGUAGAUGUACAAUGGGCGGUCUGUAAGUACUGGCGUGUUGUAUGUUUAAAGUUAGUAUUCAUAACCCUCUUAUAUUUAUGUUUUCUAGAGGUACUUACACUCCAUGCUAUUCUGGCAACAUUGUUCUUUAAUUUUUCAUUUAUCCUUUUGAGUGUUUUGUUGUUUAUCUUGGGACAGAGAUGAAGUUUCCUGGAGUAUAUGGCAGAAGCCUUCUAGAAUUGGAGAAACGGAAAGGGCAGUUCUUCCCUUUGUUGGCUAGAUAUAUAAGAAACGUAACCAGCAUGCAUGAGCCCAAUGUUACAUAUGGUGCCCAGAGGCAAAAGAAGAGAGCCAUAGAUCUAGUGCAUAACUGGAGCAAGCUUCAGUCUUGGGAAUUAGUGCCUAAAAUUCAAGUUUGAUCGGUCGACAACAAGAUAUUUAUUGCUAUUCAGGCAUUUAUUUAGGAUUUGGUUCUAUUUUAAUUGGCACCCAGUGAAGAUUGAAUGAUGCACGAUUAAGAUAUGUCAAGCAUGCUUUGAGGUUUGGAAUGAUCGGGCUGGCUUUUUCACACAUAAAUCUUCUUUUAUCGGUCUAGUUGUAUCUUGAUUGUCACUGUUGUCACCAUUAACCUUUUUCUGCCACCAUAUGCAAGGAUGAUGGGACUGCAUCAAUCUAGGAGCUAAGCUUGGUAGAGCCCGAGGAUACAACAUGCAGGCUUAAAUAGUCUCAGCAUGAAGUAUAAGAAAAGAUUUCUCUUCGACCGGACAAGACUCGCAGAUCCUGAGCUUCAUUUCAUUUACAAAGGGAUUAAGCGACGGACGGCAAAACAAAGUGGAACGAGUGGCAGCGAGUCAAAGGUGUCAUCACGGAGGUCAUGCGAAGGAUGUUGGGUGGGUCUUAAGUGCUUCCUUUUUUCCACCUUCCAGAAGAAGGACGUCAUUCUUAUCUGUUGUUUUGCAUGGCAGAUAAAUACCGAAGCUCCGUGCUAAG